UCCAGACUCCUACGGGAGGCAGCAGUGGGGAAUAUUGCACAAUGGGGGGAACCCUGAUGCAGCGACGCCGCGUGGGUGAAGGAGCACCUCGGUGCGUAAAGCCCUAUCGGCAGGGAAGAAACAGACGGGACCUGACUAAGAAGCCCCGGCUAACUACGCGCCAGCAGCCGCGGGAAUACGUAGGGGGCAAGCCUUAUCCGGAUUCACUGGGUGUAAAGGGAGCGUAGACGGCGACGCAAGUCUGGAGUGAAAGCCCGGGGCCCAACCCCGGGACUGCUCUGGAAACUGUGUUGCUGGAGUGCAGGAGGGGUAAGCGGAAUUCCUAGUGUAGCGGUGAAAUGCGUAGAUAUUAGGAGGAACACCGGUGGCGAAGGCGGCUUACUGGACUGUAACUGACGUUGAGGCUCGAAGGCGUGGGGAGCAAACAGGAUUAGAUACCCCCGUA
This 445-nucleotide ribosomal RNA is filed under the name uncultured bacterium. RNAcentral describes it as "bacterial SSU rRNA". It matches the Rfam family "Bacterial small subunit ribosomal RNA", at positions 330 to 792 of the family's 1533-position model. The record is from RNAcentral.